RNAcentral lists this transfer RNA (72 nucleotides) under Ovis aries (sheep). It matches the Rfam family "tRNA". From Rfam's summary of the family: Transfer RNA (tRNA) molecules are approximately 80 nucleotides in length. Their secondary structure includes four short double-helical elements and three loops (D, anti-codon, and T loops). Further hydrogen bonds mediate the characteristic L-shaped molecular structure. tRNAs have two regions of fundamental functional importance: the anti-codon, which is responsible for specific mRNA codon recognition, and the 3' end, to which the tRNAs corresponding amino acid is attached (by aminoacyl-tRNA synthetases). tRNAs cope with the degeneracy of the genetic code in two manners: having more than one tRNA (with a specific anti-codon) for a particular amino acid; and 'wobble' base-pairing, i.e. permitting non-standard base-pairing at the 3rd anti-codon position. The record is from Rfam by way of RNAcentral. Lineage: Eukaryota; Metazoa; Chordata; Mammalia; Artiodactyla; Bovidae.
UCCCUUGUGGCUCAGACAGUAAAGAGUCUGCCUGCAAUGCAGGAGACCUGGGUUCGAUUCCUGGAUUGGGAA